RNAcentral lists this ribosomal RNA (460 nucleotides) under uncultured bacterium. Its description in RNAcentral is "partial 16S ribosomal RNA". It matches the Rfam family "Bacterial small subunit ribosomal RNA", at positions 338 to 795 of the family's 1533-position model. The record is from RNAcentral.
CCUACGGGUGGCAGCAGUGAGGAAUAUUGGUCAAUGGGCGCGAGCCUGAACCAGCCAAGUAGCGUGAAGGAUGACUGCCCUACGGGUUGUAAACUUCUUUUAUAAAGGCAUAAAGUGAGGCACGUGUGCCUUUUUGUAUGUACUUUAUGAAUAAGGCUCGGCUAACUCCGUGCCAGCAGCCGCGGUAAUACGGAGGAUCCGAGCGUUAUCCGGAUUUCUUGGGUUUAAAGGGAGCGUAGAUGGGUUGGUAAGUCAGUUGUGAACGUUUGCGGCUGAACCGGAAAAUUGCAAUUGAUACUGGCAGUCUUGAGUACAGUUGAGGUAGGCGGAAUUCGUGGUGUAGCGGUGAAAUGCUUAGAUAUUACGAAGAACUCCGAUUGCGAAGGCAGCUUACUAAACUGCCACUGACAUUGAUGCUCGAAAGUGUGGGUAUCAAACAGGAUUAGAUACCCUAGUAGUC